Molecule: long non-coding RNA, 2840 nt
Organism: Halichondria panicea
Lineage: Eukaryota; Metazoa; Porifera; Demospongiae; Suberitida; Halichondriidae
Exons: 3
Source: RefSeq, a predicted model, not a curated record
AAGUCAGUGUAGUUGUAUCUAAACAACCAUAAGCUAUAGUAACUGCCAUCGUAGCCGUGCAUGUUAUAACUUCACCUUUGUACUCAGGUAGGUUAAGGACUGGGACCAACUGGGACCAGCAAUUAUUGCUGAAUCAGCUAAAACGCAGCCACGCCCACGAUUUUUAAUAUGUUUUGUGUGUAAAAAAUUAGUUUAGCUACUUAUCAUUUUUAGUUCUAAUUCCGGAGGUCUAAACCUUCCUUUCAGCUCUAAAUUUUUAGUGUAGUAGGUAGUUCAAAGGUUUGUGCAGACUAUUCAAUCGGGAGGGAGCUGUUCAUUCAGCCAAAGGUGAGAUUUUGCAAAAAACGUAGUUUUCUAGCUGUUAAUUUUAAAUGUAAAAGCUAAUAACUUACUUUGCAUAGAGUACCAUGCUUCCUCCCGAUUGAAUAGUCUGCACAAACAAGUAUCUUACUUUUUUCAUGUCGAAAUAACACAUGCUAUGCAAUGUGCGCAAGAUUAUAUCUACGUACUUCAUUCAAAAAUCGUUUGGAGUCUCUACAAGGAAUAACUGUAUAUCUUCUAAUUCAUCGAACACUUCCAGACACUUUUGGGCAAUUUUCGUUGUUCUAAUACAGUGGACACUUCAUUUCAUUUUCAAUUUUGCGUUUUUCGAGGGUAGAGCAGUAAUGCGAAAAAUACAACCAGGAUAAACUCCUACAUACCGAUAUGUUCACAUGCAAAGCUAUUGGUGGUCCUGGCAUUGAAACGCGAGUAUUAGAACCCACGAAAUUUCUGCUGAGGGCUCUGGAGCCAAAUAGCGAAAAUUUGCACCCGCGAAAUUUUCCCACUAUACGGUACCUUGAAAAGUUGAGACACAUUCGAUCCAAGCAACAUAGCUUUAUAGCCAGCAAGGGUGCUGCAAGUUAGAUAGCUCUUCAGUCGCACACUAGCUGUUCUAUUAAACUUAGCUAGCUCGCAUACAACUGCAUGCUUCUUCUGGAUACUUUGCGUGCUCUAUAAAGAUCUGUUCCAAUUAUGCCCGGACAAUUUACAAAAUAAAUGUUUGCUGUCCAAUAACUAUACGGUACAUACAUCUACAAACAGUCCUUACCAAAACUGUAUUGACUGUAUGCAAAAAACUACCAGCGACAAACGUACAUAUGAAUGAGGCUGUAACGGACGGAGUUAUGCUCUGCUCUCUAGUUUCUAUGCUUUUUGGUGUUUCUCCCCGGCCAAUCCUAGAAAUUUUUCACAUUGCAAGAAAUAAUGACUUUAGAUCUACAAACAGUCCUUAGCAAAACGCUUGCUUAGCCAUAUCACACAACUAGUGUAUUAUAGAUCCAGCUGUUAAAUGGUACAAAACACAAGAGUACAAAAUAAACGCACUGUACAGAUGCUAGCGUGCGUACGUGGUAGAGUACCAUAAGCGUACUUUCAGCACUUAUUUUGCUCCUUAUUAACGUGCUACGUACAUACUACGUAAACAUAACGGGAACUGUAUAUUGACCGCUACUGUAUGUAUGUGUCAUUGGUUGUAGAAACAGACCUCUUUAGACUGCACGUGCGCAACUGGAUUGAACUACAGUAUUUUUUGAAACAUAGUGCUUUUCUAAUUAAGCACCACUUUGAUUCUCCUAUUAUCGUAAUUUCGCAAACUUAUUUUCGCGAACAGUGAGGUUUUACUUAAAAUACGUUCCUCACCCGCGACCUCGUUUCGAGGCUUGUGGCCUAGCUGUGAUAUCAUUUCACUGAUAGCAUGCAGUUACCAUACAAAUGAAUUGUUUCUUGUGCAUUAACGUUACAUGUACAAUUACAUGUACAAUGUCAUUGAACUAUCAAACACAUUCUAAUGCCAUAUACAAGGAACAGCAGGUACAUAACCUGCGGCAAAAUUGGGUGAUCGAAAUUGUUCUGAGAUUUGGGAUAAAUGACGUAUAGUUGUUCCCUGCAUAUACUUCUUGGAGGGAAACAGAAAAACUUAUUAUAUCCGCUCUUGAUACCUACUCACUAAAUAAAACUACUUUUCUUCACUAAACCACACCGCGUAAUUAUUGUGAACACAUGAUAUUUAUCUACUGCGCAUGCUCACACUCAAAGGAUUUUAAUUGUGAAUAAGACUAAAAUCGUACUCGCUCAUGCGUAACUGGAAAGCAUUAUGAAUGUCAUUGAAGCAUGGAUUUUUCCAUCUUCAGCAACAAUUUUCAUUCGCAUGCCCUUUCUGUGUGCACCACUUUUUGUACAUGCUUUCUAUCAACACAGAACAAACACUUCAUUUGCUGGUCUCUCUCUAGCACUGUCCUUGGAAUGCCUGAUCUGCAAUGUAAUUUAACUUCUCUUUCUACCGCAAGAGAUACUAAAAGAGUAUUAUUUACCGCAUUCAACAAGAUGUCCAUACAUUGACUCAACACAAAGUCCAUGUGAUCACAAAAGAAUAUCACGAUCAAGCACAAAGUAGUGUUCUUGUAGUGAGGUAGCUAGUUAGGAGUUUGGCAAGAAUGCUGCUAUUCAUAUAUAUCGUAUAGCGUGUAAUUUUCGUGGGGCAAAAUAUUUGUGGUUUUCGUGGUUGGAGGUCUGACCACGAAUAUUUUACCCACGAAUGAAGCGACCUUGCCUACCUUUACCUGCAGUGCAAGCUCCAACCACGAAAUGUCUCAAUAUUGCUGAACCACGAAUAUUUUGUUCCCCGCCCCCGAAAAUUACCCGCUAUACGGUACAUUCCUAGUUCAACAGGACUCCUCUGAUGUCUGCUGCCAAAAAUGGACACUCUGCCAUUGUCCGUCACCUUCUCUCCUGUGGAGCUGACCCCAACCUCAGGAACAAGGGUGGUCAAUCUGCCUACGAUCUGGCUCGUACGAAUGGAC